RNAcentral lists this ribosomal RNA (610 nucleotides) under Bacillus pumilus. RNAcentral's name for it is "bacterial SSU rRNA". It matches the Rfam family "Bacterial small subunit ribosomal RNA", at positions 555 to 1165 of the family's 1533-position model. The record is from RNAcentral. Lineage: Bacteria; Bacillati; Bacillota; Bacilli; Caryophanales; Bacillaceae.
UGGGCGUAGAGGGCUCGCAGGCGGUUUCUUAAGUCUGAUGUGAAAGCCCCCGGCUCAACCGGGGAGGGUCAUUGGAAACUGGGAAACUUGAGUGCAGAAGAGGAGAGUGGAAUUCCACGUGUAGCGGUGAAAUGCGUAGAGAUGUGGAGGAACACCAGUGGCGAAGGCGACUCUCUGGUCUGUAACUGACGCUGAGGAGCGAAAGCGUGGGGAGCGAACAGGAUUAGAUACCCUGGUAGUCCACGCCGUAAACGAUGAGUGCUAAGUGUUAGGGGGUUUCCGCCCCUUAGUGCUGCAGCUAACGCAUUAAGCACUCCGCCUGGGGAGUACGGUCGCAAGACUGAAACUCAAAGGAAUUGACGGGGGCCCGCACAAGCGGUGGAGCAUGUGGUUUAAUUCGAAGCAACGCGAAGAACCUUACCAGGUCUUGACAUCCUCUGACGACCCUAGAGAUAGGGCUUUCCCUUCGGGGACAGAGUGACAGGUGGUGCAUGGUUGUCGUCAGCUCGUGUCGUGAGAUGUUGGGUUAAGUCCCGCAACGAGCGCAACCCUUGAUCUUAGUUGCCAGCAUUCAGUUGGGCACUCUAAGGUGACUGCCGGUGACAAACCC